UUUUGGACAAUGGGGGCAACCCUGAUCCAGCCAUGCCGCGUGAGUGAAGAAGGCCUUCGGGUUGUAAAGCUCUUUCGGACGGAACCAAAUGGGCGGGACUAAUACUCCCGUCCGAUGACGGUACCGUAAGAAGAAGCACCGGCUAACUACGCGCCAGCAGCCGCGGUAAUACGUAGGGUGCGAGCGUUAAUCGGAAUUACUGGGCGUAAAGCGUGCGCAGGCGGUUUCGUAAGCUGGAGGUGAAAUCCCCGGGCUUAACCUGGGAAUGGCCUUCAGGACUGCGAGGCUAGAGUGCGGCAGAGGGAGGUGGAAUUCCACGUGUAGCAGUGAAAUGCGUAGAGAUGUGGAGGAACACCGAUGGCGAAGGCAGCCUCCUGGGCCAGCACUGACGCUCAUGCACGAAA
RNAcentral lists this ribosomal RNA (404 nucleotides) under uncultured bacterium. RNAcentral describes it as "bacterial SSU rRNA". It matches the Rfam family "Bacterial small subunit ribosomal RNA", at positions 362 to 758 of the family's 1533-position model. The record is from RNAcentral.